CCUCUAUAACUACUUACUGUAUCGAAAGUCCUUAAAGAUCCUGUUGACUUAAUAAAUACUCUGAUCGCUAAUACUAAAUCAAGACUCUAUGUACCAAAAGAUGAGUAAAUCGAAAGGACAGGAAGAUAUAGAUGAUUGAAAAUAAAGUAAGAAGUAGUAUAGAGAAUUCUGUAUUAAUCACAACUCGAUAUAGCUAUAUAUAGAAGGAGACUCAGCCGACCAGAAGAGUCCCUAAAUUGGUGUAGCGUGUUAUAACAUAACAGGCUACAUAUAAAGUCUGCAAAAGUGAAGAGACCCACAGCCCGACGUGCGUUUUGGCGAUAAUGAUCGCCUUUCUCAAGGGCACGAGUAGACAAGAAAAGUCCACUCACCCCCCCUCCUCCUUUUAUAACACUGGUGCCAAAUCCUACUUACAAUUAGUGGGAUGUGUCUCAAUCUAGACCGCCAAUGAAGUUCAGCGGUCAGAGGUCCCAGAAUCAAGUACUCGGCAUAAUCCGAGGAAGCAGGAAUGGCAAUGAAUCAGAGCACAGAAAAGUCCCAAGUGAGGAUGCGCAUGCAUAUGUCGAG
Non-coding RNA from Pelobates cultripes (western spadefoot toad), 567 nucleotides. Lineage: Eukaryota; Metazoa; Chordata; Amphibia; Anura; Pelobatidae. The record is from the annotation of a GenBank genome assembly.